GGCAGGGUAGCCUAGUGGUUAGAGCGUUGGGCUAGUGACCGAAAGGUUGUAAGUUCGAAUCCCCUGGCUG
This 70-nucleotide transfer RNA is filed under the name Salmo salar (Atlantic salmon). It matches the Rfam family "tRNA". From Rfam's summary of the family: Transfer RNA (tRNA) molecules are approximately 80 nucleotides in length. Their secondary structure includes four short double-helical elements and three loops (D, anti-codon, and T loops). Further hydrogen bonds mediate the characteristic L-shaped molecular structure. tRNAs have two regions of fundamental functional importance: the anti-codon, which is responsible for specific mRNA codon recognition, and the 3' end, to which the tRNAs corresponding amino acid is attached (by aminoacyl-tRNA synthetases). tRNAs cope with the degeneracy of the genetic code in two manners: having more than one tRNA (with a specific anti-codon) for a particular amino acid; and 'wobble' base-pairing, i.e. permitting non-standard base-pairing at the 3rd anti-codon position. The record is from Rfam by way of RNAcentral. Lineage: Eukaryota; Metazoa; Chordata; Actinopteri; Salmoniformes; Salmonidae.